Molecule: ribosomal RNA, 407 nt
Filed under: uncultured bacterium
Lineage: Bacteria
Description: partial 16S ribosomal RNA
Rfam family: Bacterial small subunit ribosomal RNA
Source: RNAcentral
AUUGAACGCUGGCGGCAGGCUUAACACAUGCAAGUCGAGCGGAGCGGCGGACGGGUGAGUAAUGCCUAGGAAUCUGCCUGGUAGCGGGGGAUAACGUCCGGAAACGGGCGCCAAUCCCGCAUACUAUCAGAUGAGCCUAGGUCGGAUUGGCAAGUUGGUGGGGUAAAGGCCUACCAGGGCGACGAUCCGUCACUGGUCUGAGAGGAUGAUCAGUCACACUGGAACUGGAACACGGUCCAGACUCCUACGGAAGCCAGCAGUGGGAAGUGUUAGACAGUGGGCGAAAGCCUAAUCCAGCCAUGCCGCGUGUGUAAGGAGGGUCUUCGGAUUGUAAGGCACUUUAAGUUGGGAGGCGUUACCGACAGAAUAAGCACCGGCUAACUUCGUGCCAGCAGCCGCGGUAAUUC